UAGAUGCGAGAGUAGAGCAUAUCAAUAAGCGGAGGAAAAGAGACUAACAAGGAUUCCCUUAGUAACGGCGAGUGAAGCGGGAAGAGCUCAAAUUUGAAAUCUUCAAGGUUCUACCUUGACGAAUUGUAGUUUAUAGAAGUGUUUUCUGUUAGUGGAGUGGCAAAAGUUCUUUGGAAUAGGACAUCAUAGAGGGUGAGAAUCCCGUAUUUGGUCAUUCCUCCUAGCGUUGUGAUACACUUUCAACGAGUCGGAUUGUUUGGGAAUGCAGUCCAAAAUGGGUGGUAAAUUUCAUCUAAAGCUAAAUAUUGGCGAGAGACCGAUAGCGAACAAGUACCGUGAGGGAAAGAUGAAAAGAACUUUGAAAAGAGAGUUAAACAGUACGUGAAAUUGUCAAAAGGGAAGCGUUUGACACCAGUGUUGUUUUUCCGAAAAUCAAUUACGAAUGUUUUAUUUUUGAGGAGUUAUGACUUCAUCGGCUUGCUCCUUUCUUUAUGAAACUUUCUUAAUGCACUUUUCGGUUAACAAGUCAACAUCAAUUUCUUUUGUUGUAAAAGGGUAUGAGGAAGGUGGCUUUCUUUUCGGAGAAAGUGUUUAUAGCCUUGUGCCUCUAGCAAUCGGAGAGAUUGAGGUCUGCAGCGUAGAUCCUUCGGGGUUAGAUACGUUUGUGCUAAGUUAUAGCUUUUCAUAGACAACUUGUUGACUAUGUUUAGUCUUGUAGAUUACUCGCAUAUGCUAUUUUACCUACGCUUAGGAUGUUGACGAGACUGUCGAUCUC
This 775-nucleotide ribosomal RNA is filed under the name uncultured Neocallimastigales. RNAcentral's name for it is "partial large subunit ribosomal RNA". It matches the Rfam family "Eukaryotic large subunit ribosomal RNA", at positions 22 to 647 of the family's 3401-position model. Lineage: Eukaryota; Fungi; Neocallimastigomycota; Neocallimastigomycetes; Neocallimastigales. The record is from RNAcentral.